UACGUAGGGAGCAAGCGUUGUUCGGAUUUACUGGGCGUAAAGGGCGCGUAGGCGGCGCGGUAAGUCACUUGUGAAAUCUCUGAGCUUAACUCAGAACGGCCAAGUGAUACUGCAGUGCUAGAGUGCAGAAAGGGCAAUCGGAAUUCUUGGUGUAGCGGUGAAAUGCGUAGAUAUCAAGAGGAACACCUGAGGCGAAGGCGGGUUGCUAGGCUGGCAAUGGCGCUGAGUGCGCGAAAGCCAGGGGAGCAAACAGG
Molecule: ribosomal RNA, 254 nt
Filed under: uncultured bacterium
Lineage: Bacteria
Description: partial 16S ribosomal RNA
Rfam family: Bacterial small subunit ribosomal RNA
Source: RNAcentral